RNAcentral lists this ribosomal RNA (1443 nucleotides) under metagenome. RNAcentral's name for it is "bacterial LSU rRNA". It matches the Rfam family "Bacterial large subunit ribosomal RNA", at positions 1500 to 2925 of the family's 2925-position model. The record is from RNAcentral.
UGUUGUCCUGGGGUAAGCAUGUAGGGCGUGUCGUAGGUAAAUCCGCUGCAUUUAAGCCUGAGAUGUGAUGCCGAGCCGAUUGUGGUGAAGUGGAUGAUCCUAUGCUGCCGAGAAAAGCCUCUAGUGAGUGUUGUGGCGGCCCGUACCCUAAACCGACUCAGGUGGUCAGGUAGAGAAUACCAAGGCGAUCGGGUGAACUGUGGUUAAGGAACUCGGCAAAUUGCCCCCGUAACUUCGGGAGAAGGGGGACCUCUGUUGGUGAUGGGCUUUACGCCUGGAGCUGGUGGGGGUCGCAGUGGCCAGGGGGAAGCGACUGUUUACUAAAAACACAGGUCCGUGCGAAGUCGUAAGACGAUGUAUACGGACUGACGCCUGCCCGGUGCCGGAACGUUAAGGGGACCGCUUAGCUGACGUGAGUUGGCGAAGGUGAGAACUUAAGCGCCGGUAAACGGCGGUGGUAACUAUAACCAUCCUAAGGUAGCGAAAUUCCUUGUCGGGUAAGUUCCGACCUGCACGAAUGGCGUAACGACUUCCCCGCUGUCUCAACCGCAGGCCCGGCGAAAUUGCACUACGAGUAAAGAUGCUCGUUUCGCGCAGCAGGACGGAAAGACCCCGGGACCUUCACUACAGCUUGACAUUGGCGUUUGGAACGUCUUGUGUAGGAUAGGUGGGAGACUGGGAAGCUGUCACGCUAGUGAUGGUGGAGUCAUUGGUGAAAUACCACUCUGGUCGUUUUGAACGUCUAACUCUGGUCCGUGAUCCGGAUCGGGGACAGUGUCUGGUGGGUAGUUUAACUGGGGCGGUUGCCUCCUAAAGAGUAACGGAGGCGCCCAAAGGUUCCCUCAGCCUGGUUGGCAAUCAGGUGUUGAGUGUAAGUGCACAAGGGAGCUUGACUGUGAGACUGACAGGUCGAGCAGGAGCGAAAGCUGGGACUAGUGAUCCGGCAUCGGCGUGUGGAAGCGGUGUCGCUCAACGGCUAAAAGGUACCCCGGGGAUAACAGGCUGAUCUUCCCCAAGAGUCCAUAUCGACGGGAUGGUUUGGCACCUCGAUGUCGGCUCGUCGCAUCCUGGGGCUGGAGUAGUCCCAAGGGUUGGGCUGUUCGCCCAUUAAAGCGGUACGCGAGCUGGGUUUAGAACGUCGCGAGACAGUUCGGUCCCUAUCCGCUGCGCGCGCAGGAGACUUGAAGGGGGCUGUCCCUAGUACGAGAGGACCGGGACGGACGAACCUCUGGUGUGCCAGUUGUACCGCCAGGUGCACGGCUGGUUGGCUACGUUCGGAAGGGAUAACCGCUGAAAGCAUCUAAGCGGGAAGCUCGCCUUGAGAUGAGGUCUCCCACCACGAGAGUGGGUAAGGCUCCCGGUAGACGACCGGGUUGAUAGGCCGGAGGUGGAAGCACGGUAACGUGUGGAGCUGACCGGUACUAAUAGGCCGAGGACUUGACC